Molecule: unclassified non-coding RNA, 370 nt
Filed under: Melitaea cinxia (Glanville fritillary)
Lineage: Eukaryota; Metazoa; Arthropoda; Insecta; Lepidoptera; Nymphalidae
Description: misc RNA ENSMCXG00005007506.1
Source: RNAcentral
AGUGACAUACGAAAAGAAAUUACAGUUUACACAUUAUUUUAUUGUUGAAAAUGAAUUUCAUUAAGGUUUUCUUCUUCAUUUUCGCGUGCAUCGCUUUGACUACAGUUUCUAGUGCGCCGAGUCCCAAAUGGAAAUUCCUGAAAAGAAUUGAAAAAGUUGGAAGGAACAUUCGUGAUGGUAUCAUCAAGGCUGGCCCCGCGGUGCAGGUGAUAGGAGAUGCGACGAAGAUCAUAAGACCAGGAAAAUGAACAGUACCGCCUAGAAAAUAAGACUAAUUCUUACAAUACUCAAUGCACCAAGUGUCUUAACCAUACAAAGAACAAAUGGGCAAGAACUCCGCAGAUACUCAUUAAAAAAACUGUCAAUUGUU